GAUCAUGGCUCAGGAUGAACGCUAGCGGCAGGCUUAACACAUGCAAGUCGAGGGGCAGCAUGACACGGAGAUUCGUCGAAGUGUUGAUGGCGACCGGCGCAAGGGUGCGUAACGCGUGAGCAACUUGCCCGUUUCUGGGGAAUAACCGGUGGAAACGCCGACUAAUACCCCAUAGUAUAACGAAGAGGCAUCUUUUUGUUAUUAAAGAAUUUCGGAAACGGAUAGGCUCGCGUGACAUUAGCUAGAUGGCGGGGUAACGGCCCACCAUGGCGACGAUGUCUAGGGGUUCUGAGAGGAAGGUCCCCCACACUGGAACUGAGACACGGUCCAGACUCCUACGGGAGGCAGCAGUGAGGAAUAUUGGUCAAUGGGCGAGAGCCUGAACCAGCCAUGUCGCGUGCAGGAUUACGGCCCUAUGGGUUUUAAACUGCUUUUGUCUAGGGGUAAAAUCGCCACGAGUGGUAAAUUGAAAGUACUAGACGAAUAAGCAUCGGCUAACUCCGUG
RNAcentral lists this ribosomal RNA (505 nucleotides) under uncultured bacterium. RNAcentral describes it as "bacterial SSU rRNA". It matches the Rfam family "Bacterial small subunit ribosomal RNA", at positions 15 to 507 of the family's 1533-position model. The record is from RNAcentral.